RNAcentral lists this ribosomal RNA (332 nucleotides) under uncultured bacterium. RNAcentral's name for it is "bacterial SSU rRNA". It matches the Rfam family "Bacterial small subunit ribosomal RNA", at positions 568 to 898 of the family's 1533-position model. The record is from RNAcentral.
CGCGUAGGCGGGUCAUCAAGUCCGGGGUGAAAUCCUCCAGCUUAACUGGAGAAUAGCCUUGGAUACUGGUGGUCUCGAGGGAGGUAGGGGCGGGUGGAACUUCCGGUGGAGGCGGUGAAAUGCGUAGAUAUCGGAAGGAACGCCGGUGGCGAAAGCGACCCGCUGGACCUCUUCUGACGCUGAGGCGCGAAAGCCAGGGGAGCAAACGGGAUUAGAUACCCCGGUAGUCCUGGCCCUAAACGAUGGGUACUAGAUUGUAGACUAAACAUGGGUUUACAGUCGAAGCAAAAGUGUUAAGUACCCCGCCUGGGGAGUAUGGUCGCAAGGCUGAA